This 183-nucleotide unclassified non-coding RNA is filed under the name uncultured Cladophialophora. RNAcentral's name for it is "sequence contains ITS2". Lineage: Eukaryota; Fungi; Ascomycota; Eurotiomycetes; Chaetothyriales; Herpotrichiellaceae. The record is from RNAcentral.
UCACCCCUCAAGCCCCGUGCUUGGUGUUGGACGGGUUGGUCGGGGCUUCCCUCGACCCCUCCUAAAGACAAUGACGGCGGCCUGUGGUUCCCCCGGUACACUGAGCUUCUUAACCGAGCACGUACCGGACGAGGGCGCCCGGGCCACGGUCCUCUCCCCGUAACGGGAAACACUUUUAACUAA